UAACCCUGAAAGAGAUCACGCCGUCGCAACUAUUCAAAAAUACUAUAAAGGUUUUCGGGCCAGACGAAUCCUAUCAGUCAUGAGUAAAGCUGCCGCAAUUAGGAUUCAAAAACACUACAGAGGUUUUCGGACCAGACGAAACCUAGCAGACAGUAUAAUUGCGGCUGAGUUACUAUGGCAAACGACCCUGUCUCAUAUCCAAAAAAUGGGUCCAGUUCCAUCUGUAAACAUCGAGAGUGAAAAACAUAUCGGGUCACUCUUGAAAUGGGCAGAAACAAGAGUUGAGAAGUAUGGUAAUCUAUCCAGCGAUCAACUGGCCCUACUGCAUUGUUUGGAAACUAUGGAUCCACUACUUCGUUAUUCUCAGAAUUCACUUUUUUUUUAUCUGCUCUGGGGCGAUCAAUUUUUCUCGGGGAGUUGGAAGUUUGACUCAUAUAAAAUUGGUGAUCUAAAGAGAGGAGAAUCAUUAUUCACCACUGGAAAGCCAACAUCUGUUGAACUAAGAAUGGAUACGACAUCAUCAACUCAGCAUGGGAUAUCUGACCUUACGAGGGCUUGGAAGACCUGGAAAGGUGCCUUGCAACAUUGGCUGGAAGUUAUUGAUCCACGCCAUCGGGUUGGACACCAUUUAAACUUUUACUUUCAGAUCUGGAUGACUGUCGGGAGUGGCCAACCUUUCUUCUACUGGUUGGACGCUGGCAAUGGAAAAACAGUAGACCAUCUGGCAUGCUCAAGGGAAAAGUUGCGUCAGGAACGCAAUACAUAUCUUGAACCAGCAAGCAAUUUGGAGGCAGUUGAAUCCCUUAUGUCCUUGGUUCCCAGGAGUCACAAUCAACGAGAACAUGACCAGGCAAGCAACUCGGAGGCAGUUGAAUCUCCUGCGUCCUUGGUGCCCAGGAGACAGGGAUCCAGCACAAUAAUAGGAGUUGUAGACGAUAUAAAUAACAAUCAACGAACACAAAACGGGCCGGCAGAUGGAUUCAAUCGAAAGGAUCUAUUGAGAAGAAUCUUCUAUACUAUGAACCUUCUGUUAGAGAUUGCAACUGCGGUUCUUGAUUACUUGUCUUCUCAGCAGCGUCAACCCCGGUAUGCGCUAAGUAGUAUGAUACUGUCAAUCAGUGUCAUGGCCAUCUCCUUGAUUCAGCUUGCUUACACCGGUGGAAAGGAAGGGGUUAGUUGGCAGUGGAAGGGCUGGAUACCUUGGUUUUAUCAUCAAGCUCCAUCUAACAAGCCUUUUGGAAAUCUUGUCCACGUUGUGGAAUUGCUUCUCUCCGUCUGUCAAUGUGCUUUUGCAAUAAUUGCCUACCAUUAUUUGUCUCGACACCAAAACAUUCCCACCCAGUUUUCUGUUUACCCUAUAAUCUUCGCUUUUUGUUUGUUGUGUCUCAGUUUUGGACGACGAUAGCCAUGAGUUUCAUCCUAGUUUAAGGUUUCGGAGAAAAGCUAAUAAUAUGGACAUUUGUAUGCGCUGUGAUUUUUCUUUCUUUUGUUUUCUAUUUCGUUCUAAGGUUUCUGCUUGGUGGUUCGUCCUAGAGUGUAAGAGAGAAGUUUAUGUACAAUGACACUUUCGACUUCCCCUUCAUGACCUGGAGGCAGAAGAAGGCCCGUGUAAUUACUAAUGAGCAUUCCUGAUUUACGUGA
Molecule: RNA transcript, 1641 nt
Organism: Populus euphratica (Euphrates poplar)
Lineage: Eukaryota; Viridiplantae; Streptophyta; Magnoliopsida; Malpighiales; Salicaceae
Exons: 11
Source: RefSeq, a predicted model, not a curated record